Molecule: non-coding RNA, 1998 nt
Organism: Odocoileus virginianus texanus
Lineage: Eukaryota; Metazoa; Chordata; Mammalia; Artiodactyla; Cervidae
Source: RefSeq, a predicted model, not a curated record
UGCUGCUUGAACAGCUCCUUCAGGGGCUCUGCCAGUGAGGGUGGGGGCGCGAUCUGUGGUCACAGGAGAGACGGGCUCACCAGGGGCCGGGAGCUGCCCCAGCCCCACUCACCCUGAGGACCAUAGUCCCAUGAUACCAAGCCAGGAGGCCGCAGCAGCUGGACGCUUUGUCCCUGAGAGCAGGUGAGUGAGCCCCCCUCCCCCGAGGGAGUUGCAGGCACCUGUGAAGAGGGCAGGGGAGGAGGCAAGGGAAGCCAAGAACCAGGUGUCUGCACCACUACCGUGGUACAGUGAGGGGACAGAGGACUGGCAGGGUCCUCUGUUUACCACAGGCUUCACGCACCCCAAGUGAUAUGAGGCCCACUGGGAUGCCGCUGCCCAGAGGCAACACAGACAGGACAGUGGGCCUGCCCAUCUCCAGGGUGUAGGGCUCGCCCGGCUACCUUGGAAGAGACAUCGCCAGGCCAGAGGAGCCCACGGAUGCCAGGGGCGACCCCCCAGGGAGAAGCCAGUGCUUCUGAGUCACACAGGAAACGCGCAGCCAUGACCACGGGCUGGAGGGGGCAGGAGGGAGGAACAGCCCCCAGCUGCAGACAGACUGCACCUGAGGCCCACACUGAGGCCCUGCCAUGGCUCAUUUGGGAUCUUAGUUCCCUGACUAGGGGUGGAACUCGUGCCUCCUGCAGAGGAAGUGUGGAGUCCUAAGCACUAGACCUCCAGGCAAGUCUUGGAAUAACGUAUUUUUUAACUGGGGUGUAGUUAAUGUUUUACACUCUUUUUAUUGAUGUGGACCUUUUUUAAAGUCUUUGUUGAAUUUGUUAAGAUUUGCUUCUGUGUGUGUUUUUCUAGGCUGUGAGGCAUGUGGAAUCUUCACUCCCUGACCAGGGGCUGAAGUGGUGUCCCCUGCACUGGAAAGCAAAAUCUUAACAGACCACCAAGCAAGUCCCCUAUUUGAUAUGUCUGUCUUGACGAACAAGUGCAGGUUGUUCACAGACACUACUACUGCACACCCAACAGCGACCAGACAGUGUUCAGGUGCAUCAGGAAACCACUGCUCUGUUGCAGUCCUCACUCACUCCGGUGGCCUCCCCGAGAUGGCUGGCAGACAGGACACAGAGAGCAGUAGCUGCGUUUCCACUGCAGGGGCUCCCCUGCCCUCUGAUGAAUCACCACCGUGGACAACCCUGGGGCCAGAGGCUGGGCUCCAGGGCUGUGUCCUUGCUGUCUGCCAGCCGAGGGAAGGCCAGCCACCCCAGCCGCUGGAGGCCACCAUGUUCCCAGUGCUAUAGUCCCUCCCUGUAAGACUGGAAGUGCAGGCCAGUCCCCUUUACAUGGAGAAAGGGUCUCUGCUGUAGGCACCCUUGUCCACCUGGUACCGUCCAGGGUCACUUCCCAUCUCCUGGUCUUCCAGCUCCCCUCUGCAGAGGCCCCCUGUCCUGAGGCCCUGUUGCACGUAUACCUGCCCACUGCCCCGGGGAUAUUUUUAGCAAAUCCUUUGAUAUUUCAUGAAUUUCUCAGUCUAUUUCUCUAAAAGGGCUCUUAAGAAAGAAAAACAAAACCCCUCUCAUCUUCCCUAAAAAGUUACCUAAUUCCUGACCUCAGCACUUCGGUGUCCACAGGAGCUUUGGCAUCUCGAGCCCAGAACCCUUCCCAACCUCUCCUGGCACCCACGUGUUAUUGUCCCGUUAUGUCCUUCCCCCCAGCCGAGCCACCACAAAAGACCAGAUGUCACAUGUCAUUACACUUGCCUCCCGUCUCUAGACAGGGGCCCUUUCAGGACAUUGUGGUGUGGACGUGGCCAGACCCUCACCUACACAUGUGUCUCCAGUGUUGGACCUGAGGGCUGGUGCCCCAGGUGCUCACAGCUCCUGGGCUGGUCACACGGGUCACCCUGUGUGACUGCACCCGUCCAACGUGCCUGGUCUGACAGCACAGGAAAGAGAGAAAUCAAGAAGCUGCAGCAGGCCCACCCGGGGGUCUGUGGGGAGGCACCUACCU